GGAGAAGUACCCAAGAGGCCGAAGGGGACGGUUUGCUAAAUCGUUAGGCGUGCAAGCGUGCGGGGGUUCGAAUCCCCCCUUCUCCGCCA
RNAcentral lists this transfer RNA (89 nucleotides) under Clostridiaceae bacterium. RNAcentral describes it as "tRNA-Ser". It matches the Rfam family "tRNA". Rfam says of the family: Transfer RNA (tRNA) molecules are approximately 80 nucleotides in length. The record is from RNAcentral. RNAcentral also lists the same sequence under 1 other name. Lineage: Bacteria; Bacillati; Bacillota; Clostridia; Eubacteriales; Clostridiaceae.